Molecule: ribosomal RNA, 253 nt
Filed under: uncultured bacterium
Lineage: Bacteria
Description: partial 16S ribosomal RNA
Rfam family: Bacterial small subunit ribosomal RNA
Source: RNAcentral
UACGAAGGGUGCAAGCGUUACUCGGAAUUACUGGGCGUAAAGCGUGCGUAGGCGGUCUGUCGCGUCGGAUGUGAAAAUCCAGGGCUCAACCCUGGACCUGCAUUCGAUACGGGCAGACUAGAGUUCGGCAGGGGAGACUGGAAUUCCUGGUGUAGCGGUGAAAUGCGUAGAGAUCAGGAAGAACAUCGGUGGCGAAGGCGCUUUGCUGGACCAUAACUGACACUCAGGGACGAAAGCUAGGGGAGCGAAUGGG